GACGAACGCUGGCGGCGUGCUUAACACAUGCAAGUCGAACGGAAAGGCCCUUCGGGGUACUCGAGUGGCGAACGGGUGAGUAACACGUGGGUGAUCUGCCCUGCACUUUGGGAUAAGCCUGGGAAACUGGGUCUAAUAAAGCAUAGGAUCACGCGCUUCAUGGCGUGUGGUGGACAGCUUUUGCGGUGUGGGAUGGGCUCGUGGCCUAUCAGCUUGUUGGUGGGGUUAUGGUCUAUCAAGGCGACGACGGGUAGCCGGCCUGCGAGGGUGACCGGCCACACUGGGACUAAGAUACGGCCCAGACUCCUACGGGAGGCAGGAGUGGGGAAUAUUGCACAAUGGGCGCAAGCCUGAUGCAGCGACGCCGCGUGAGGGAUGACGGCCUUCGGGUUGUAAACCUCUUUCAAUAGGGACGAAGCGCAAGUGACGGUACCUAUAGAAGAAGCACCGGCCAACUACGUG
Molecule: ribosomal RNA, 462 nt
Filed under: uncultured bacterium
Lineage: Bacteria
Description: partial 16S ribosomal RNA
Rfam family: Bacterial small subunit ribosomal RNA
Source: RNAcentral